GACGAACGCUGGCGGCGUGCUUAACACAUGCAAGUCGAACGGAAAGGCGCUGCUUUUGCGGGGUGCUCGAGUGGCGCACGGGUGAGUGACACGUGAGUAACCUGCCCUUGUCUUUGGGGUAACUUCUCGGAACUGGGGCUCAUACCGCGUAGGAGCUACUGAUGCGUGGGGUGCGUUGGAGAGUUUCGGCGGUUGGGGCUGGUCUCGCGGCUUAUCAGCUUGUUUGGGGGGUAGUGGAUGACAAAGGCUGUGACGGGUAGCCGGCGUGGGAGGGGGACCGGCCACAUUGGGACUGGGAGACGGAGCAGACUGCUACGGUAGGCAGCAGUGGGGAAUAUUGCACAAUGGGCGGAAGCCUGAUGCAGCAACGCCGCGUGCGGGAUGACGGCCUUCGGGUGGUAAACAGAUUUCGCCUGUGACGAAGCGUGAGUGACGGUAAUGGGUAAAGAAGCACCGGCUAACUACGUG
Molecule: ribosomal RNA, 468 nt
Filed under: uncultured bacterium
Lineage: Bacteria
Description: partial 16S ribosomal RNA
Rfam family: Bacterial small subunit ribosomal RNA
Source: RNAcentral